This 126-nucleotide small nuclear RNA is filed under the name Chinchilla lanigera (long-tailed chinchilla). Its description in RNAcentral is "U4 spliceosomal RNA (ENSCLAG00000021004.1)". It matches the Rfam family "U4 spliceosomal RNA". Rfam says of the family: U4 small nuclear RNA (U4 snRNA) is a component of the major U2-dependent spliceosome. The record is from Rfam by way of RNAcentral. Lineage: Eukaryota; Metazoa; Chordata; Mammalia; Rodentia; Chinchillidae.
AGCUUUGCGCAGUGGCAGUAUCGUAGCCAAUGAGGUUUAUCCGAGGCGCGAUUAUUGCUAAUUGAAAAAUUAAAUUUCAUAAGCUAAAAAUUGGACAGAUUAUAUUUUUAAAAGAUAGUCUACAAU